GAUGAAGAACGUAGCGAAAUGCGAUAAGUAGUGUGAAUUGCAGAAUUCAGUGAAUCAUCGAAUCUUUGAACGCACAUUGUGCCCCUUGGUAUUCCAUGGGGCAUGCCUGUUCGAGCGUCAUUUCAACCAUCAAGCCCCGGGCUUGUGUUGGGGACCUGCGGCUGCCGCAGGCCCUGAAAAGCAGUGGCGGGCUCGCUGUCACACCGAGCGUAGUAGCAUACAUCUCGCUCUGGGCGUGCUGCGGGUUCCGGCCGUUAAACCACCUUUUAACCCAAGGUUGACCUCGGAUCAGGUAGGAAGACCCGCUGAACUUAAGCAUAUCAAUAAGCGGAGGA
RNAcentral lists this unclassified non-coding RNA (335 nucleotides) under soil metagenome. RNAcentral's name for it is "partial contains 5.8S ribosomal RNA, internal transcribed spacer 2, and large subunit ribosomal RNA". The stretch from base 1 to 120 matches the Rfam family "5.8S ribosomal RNA", at positions 35 to 154 of the family's 154-position model. The record is from RNAcentral.